This 301-nucleotide ribosomal RNA is filed under the name uncultured bacterium. RNAcentral describes it as "partial 16S ribosomal RNA". It matches the Rfam family "Bacterial small subunit ribosomal RNA", at positions 509 to 807 of the family's 1533-position model. The record is from RNAcentral.
CAGCAGCCGCGGUAAUACGUAGGGUGCAAGCGUUAAUCGGAAUUACUGGGCGUAAAGCGUGCGCAGGCGGUUUGUUAAGACAGAUGUGAAAUCCCCGGGCUCAACCUGGGAACUGCAUUUGUGACUGGCAAGCUAGAGUGUGGCAGAGGGGGGUGGAAUUCCGCGUGUAGCAGUGAAAUGCGUAGAUAUGCGGAGGAACACCGAUGGCGAAGGCAGCCCCCUGGGCCAACACUGACGCUCAUGCACGAGAGCGUGGGGAGCAAACAGGAUUAGAUACCCCAGUAGUCCCUGUCUCUUAUAC